Molecule: ribosomal RNA, 747 nt
Filed under: uncultured bacterium
Lineage: Bacteria
Description: bacterial SSU rRNA
Rfam family: Bacterial small subunit ribosomal RNA
Source: RNAcentral
AGAGUUUGAUCCUGGCUCAGAUUGAACGCUGGCGGCAGGCUUAACACAUGCAAGUCGAGCGGGGUGAUGUAGCUUGCUACAUUACCUAGCGGCGGACGGGUGAGUAAUGCUUAGGAAUCUGCCUAUUAGUGGGGGACAACAUUCCGAAAGGAAUGCUAAUACCGCAUACGCCCUACGGGGGAAAGCAGGGGAUCUUCGGACCUUGCGCUAAUAGAUGAGCCUAAGUCAGAUUAGCUAGUUGGUGGGGUAAAGGCCUACCAAGGCGACGAUCUGUAGCGGGUCCGAGAGGAUGAUCCGCCACACUGGGACUGAGACACGGCCCAGACUCCUACGGGAGGCAGCAGUGGGGAAUAUUGGACAAUGGGCGAAAGCCUGAUCCAGCCAUGCCGCGUGUGUGAAGAAGGCCUUUUGGUUGUAAAGCACUUUAAGCGAGGAGGAGGCUACUUAGAUUAAUACUCUAGGAUAGUGGACGUUACUCGCAGAAUAAGCACCGGCUAACUCUGUGCCAGCAGCCGCGGUAAUACAGAGGGUGCGAGCGUUAAUCGGAUUUACUGGGCGUAAAGCGUGCGUAGGCGGCUUUUUAAGUCGGAUGUGAAAUCCCUGAGCUUAACUUAGGAAUUGCAUUCGAUACUGGGAAGCUAGAGUAUGGGAGAGGAUGGUAGAAUUCCAGGUGUAGCGGUGAAAUGCGUAGAGAUCUGGAGGAAUACCGAUGGCGAAGGCAGCCAUCUGGCCUAAUACUGACGCUGA